UUUCUCCUUCAACUUCACUUAAAAAAAAAACCCUAUUCUCCGUUUUUCAAAUUAAAUUAGCAUCGUCUUCCUUUUGGCCUUUUCAUUGUCUUCAAUCCAGUAAAACUUUGAAGAUUUGAAAUUUGUGCAUUGACGGCUUCUUCAAUGACAAAGUUAUUGGCUUUGGUGUUAGUAUUGAAAGAAAUCAAGAAAGAAGAAUACUAAAAUCAACUGUAAAUGCCUACAGCAACAUACCCGCCACCAUCGCUGUAUUGCAAGCUCUACGAGGACUAUAUACAGUAUCCAAACUCUGCUCCUGAGCCACCGCCCCCAAUCCCAGGCACCUAUGUUCUCUACGGUGCAAAUUACACAAACCUUGAUUAUCAUUUUUUAUUUAUUUAUUUAUUAUUAUUAUUUUUUUUUUGCUUUUGUAUGUAAGUUUCUAAAUUAAAGUUAGCUUUCUUAUAAUGGAUUUGUGAAAUAGCAUUUCAUUAUGGUGAUAGUCAAAAGGGUCUUUUUAAUCAUUCACCAGGUUUUCUUUUUAUUAGUUAUGGGUUUGAAUUAAAGAUGAUGUUGAAUAAAUAAUGGUGAAGGAAAGAAGGAAAUUGGUCUGUACUAAUUAAGCAAUUUCAUUUUUGAAUUUUGAUCCUUUAGGAGAUGUUAAUAACUUUUUCAUGAUUGCCAUGUAUUGGAAAUAUUUCAAUUAAAAUGUGGAGCAUAUGUAAGCUAGUUCUCUAUAUAUUGUUAUUUAUUGCUCUGAAACUAAAUAAGUCAAUCCUUAUUGUAAAAAUUCAAUUGCCAAAAGUUUAUUUAUUUUCUUUUGAAUAUGUAAAAGGAUAACCUUGUUUUAAACUUUUUAUGUAGAUUGAUGAUGUGCUUCCUACUCAAUUAGAGUAUGGCGUCCAUCAGUUGUACCCAAAACGGUAAAAUGUUGGUAUGAUUUGCAUAUUGCAUCACUUUUUGACAGUAGUUUUGAAUGUGAAGGAUAUUUAAUCAGCUGUUAUACCACUUUAUUGCCAUCAAUAGGCAUUUUAGUAUCAAAUUUUCAAGCAGUGUGUUGGCUUUUUUGCUUUGCUGUUAUUUGAUGAUCAUUUGUACCCGUGGAGGUUUAAUAUAUUUGAGCUUGUACAAUUUUCUUCAUUUAUGCUCAGAGUUUGUAAGUAAUUCGCUCGGUUUCAUCUAACAGCAAGCUCGCAAGAUGCAAUUGGCUUCCAUAUAGCUGUGGUUUUCACUGCUUCUGUAGAUUAUCAAAAAGUUAUCUCUUGUCAAACUAUAUAGUAUUUUCUUUAGGCACUGCUGAUUAGAUAGGCAGUAUAGGAGUCUUGUAAUUCUUGGUGGAUACACUUAUCCAUUUUAUUGAAGGUCUCACUGUAUUUACAUUGCAUGUGUUUUCAUGACCAAUAUCAGACCUCAUAAUUGUUUGACAUGUUGCAUUGAUGCUAUGACUUCGAUCGAAAUUUGUGCAAGCUCAGUUUAAUAUAGAUUUGGUUUGUCGAGAAUAUAUGUCCAAUUGGAGGAAGAAGUUAGCCGUGAAGAUAUUUUUACAGCAUUUGGAUCCGUAGAUUUAGAUAAUUUUUUAAAUUACUUUUUUUCUUUUUUCUGGGAGAUUAAUUUUUAAUUGUACAUCUUUGCUUUGAGUUAAUUGUUGAUGCGUGUCUUUAUAGUGUCGAU
This 1650-nucleotide long non-coding RNA is filed under the name Olea europaea subsp. europaea. Lineage: Eukaryota; Viridiplantae; Streptophyta; Magnoliopsida; Lamiales; Oleaceae. The record is from RNAcentral.